GGGAGUGUAGCUCAGCUGGUAGAGCAGCGGCCUUUUAAGCCGUGGGUCGUGGGUUCGAAUCCCACCGCUCCCACCA
This 76-nucleotide transfer RNA is filed under the name Candidatus Kerfeldbacteria bacterium. Its description in RNAcentral is "tRNA-Lys". It matches the Rfam family "tRNA". From Rfam's summary of the family: Transfer RNA (tRNA) molecules are approximately 80 nucleotides in length. Their secondary structure includes four short double-helical elements and three loops (D, anti-codon, and T loops). Lineage: Bacteria; Candidatus Kerfeldiibacteriota. The record is from RNAcentral.